RNAcentral lists this ribosomal RNA (437 nucleotides) under uncultured bacterium. Its description in RNAcentral is "bacterial SSU rRNA". It matches the Rfam family "Bacterial small subunit ribosomal RNA", at positions 28 to 464 of the family's 1533-position model. The record is from RNAcentral.
GACGAACGCUGGCGGCGUGCUUAACACAUGCAAGUCGAACGGUAAGGCCUUUCGGGGUACACGAGUGGCGAACGGGUGAGUAACACGUGGGUGAUCUGCCCUGCACUUCGGGAUAAGCUUGGGAAACUGGGUCUAAUACCGGAUAGGACCACGGUCUGCAUGGAUUGUGGUGGAAAGCUUUUGCGGUGUGGGAUGGGCCCGCGGCCUAUCAGCUUGUUGGUGGGGUGAUGGCCUACCAAGGCGACGACGGGUAGCCGGCCUGAGAGGGUGUCCGGCCACACUGGGACUGAGAUACGGCCCAGACUCCUACGGGAGGCAGCAGUGGGGAAUAUUGCGCAAUGGGCGAAAGCCUGACGCAGCCAUACCGCGUGUGUGAAGAAGGCCUUCGGGUUGUAAAGGCACUUUCAGUGGGGAGGAAAGGACUGGUGGCGUAAUAU